Long non-coding RNA from Hemicordylus capensis (graceful crag lizard), 540 nucleotides. RefSeq lists it as uncharacterized. The transcript has 3 exons. NCBI's taxonomy places the organism in Eukaryota, Metazoa, Chordata, Lepidosauria, Squamata, Cordylidae. The record is from RefSeq and is a predicted model, not a curated record.
ACCCCUCCCAAAACUUGCCACUGCUUCUGAGCAGAGGUCCACCACAUAGUGCUUCACAAACAUCUCUUAUGACACCUGCAUUGCAGCCAUACACAUGUCCUUGAAAUUUAUUCCUGUAAAUGCACUGCUGAGAACACAUACACCCUCUUAGAGUGGGCCUUUAUAGCUUUAGGAGGAUCUACCUUCUACAUCUUGUAAGCAAGGUAGAUAGUCUCUACCAGCCAAUCAGAGAGUCUUUGUCUUGAAACAGGAUGUCCCCUCUACCUUUGUUUAUAAGUGACUAAUAGUCAUCUUGUCUUUCUUAUCGCAAACAUUCACUGCAAACAGAACAGAAGAGCACAUCGCACAUCCAGGCUGUGCACUGCCCAUUCCAAAGGUGUUUCUGGAUUUUGGAAAAAGGGUCUCAAGUCUUUUAGAAGUUGCAGUGGAUGUGUGCAGGACCUGCCAAGCCAUCUUAGCUGUCUUUGUUAUCACAGGAAGCAUUGGCAUCAUUUUUCACUUAUCAUGGAUGAGUAGAUGAGCAGAUUUCCUGAGCCCUGC